GAUGAACGCUGGCGGCGUGCCUAACACAUGCAAGUCGAACGAAGCACCUUACCUGAUUCUUCGGAUGAAAGUUUGGUGACUGAGUGGCGGACGGGUGAGUAACGCGUGGGUAACCUGCCCUGUACAGGGGGAUAACAGCUGGAAACGGCUGCUAAUACCGCAUAAGCGCACGAGGAGACAUCUCCUUGUGUGAAAAACUCCGGUGGUACAGGAUGGGCCCGCGUCUGAUUAGCUGGUAGGCAGGGUAACGGCCUACCAAGGCAACGAUCAGUAGCCGGUCUGAGAGGAUGAACGGCCACAUUGGAACUGAGACACGGUCCAAACUCCUACGGGAGGCAGCAGUGGGGAAUAUUGCACAAUGGGGGAAACCCUGAUGCAGCAACGCCGCGUGAGUGAAGAAGUAUUUCGGUAUGUAAAGCUCUAUCAGCAGGGAAGAUAAUGACGGUACCUGACUAAGAAGCUCCGGCUAAAUACGUG
This 477-nucleotide ribosomal RNA is filed under the name uncultured bacterium. Its description in RNAcentral is "partial 16S ribosomal RNA". It matches the Rfam family "Bacterial small subunit ribosomal RNA", at positions 28 to 507 of the family's 1533-position model. The record is from RNAcentral.